RNAcentral lists this ribosomal RNA (819 nucleotides) under Alteromonas sp. Its description in RNAcentral is "bacterial SSU rRNA". It matches the Rfam family "Bacterial small subunit ribosomal RNA", at positions 56 to 873 of the family's 1533-position model. The record is from RNAcentral. Lineage: Bacteria; Pseudomonadati; Pseudomonadota; Gammaproteobacteria; Alteromonadales; Alteromonadaceae.
UGCAGUCGAACGGUAGCAGGAAGUGCUUGCACUUUGCUGACGAGUGGCGGACGGGUGAGUAAUGCUUGGGAACUUGCCUUUGCGAGGGGGAUAACAGUUGGAAACGACUGCUAAUACCGCAUAAUGUCUACGGACCAAACGGGGCUUAGGCUUCGGCGCAGAGAGAGGCCCAAGUGAGAUUAGCUAGUUGGUGGGGUAAAGGCUCACCAAGGCGACGAUCUCUAGCUGUUCUGAGAGGAAGAUCAGCCACACUGGGACUGAGACACGGCCCAGACUCCUACGGGAGGCAGCAGUGGGGAAUAUUGCACAAUGGGGGGAACCCUGAUGCAGCCAUGCCGCGUGUGUGAAGAAGGCCUUCGGGUUGUAAAGCACUUUCAGUUGUGAGGAAAAGUGAGUAGUUAAUACCUGCUCACCGUGACGUUAACAACAGAAGAAGCACCGGCUAACUCCGUGCCAGCAGCCGCGGUAAUACGGAGGGUGCGAGCGUUAAUCGGAAUUACUGGGCGUAAAGCGCACGCAGGCGGUUUGUUAAGCUAGAUGUGAAAGCCCCGAGCUCAACUUGGGAUGGUCAUUUAGAACUGGCAGACUAGAGUCUUGGAGAGGGGAGUGGAAUUCCAGGUGUAGCGGUGAAAUGCGUAGAUAUCUGGAGGAACAUCAGUGGCGAAGGCGACUCCCUGGCCAAAGACUGACGCUCAUGUGCGAAAGUGUGGGUAGCGAACAGGAUUAGAUACCCUGGUAGUCCACACCGUAAACGCUGUCUACUAGCUGUUUGUGGCUUUAAGCCGUGAGUAGCGAAGCUAACGCGAUAAGUAGACCGCC